Molecule: ribosomal RNA, 289 nt
Filed under: uncultured bacterium
Lineage: Bacteria
Description: partial 16S ribosomal RNA
Rfam family: Bacterial small subunit ribosomal RNA
Source: RNAcentral
GUGGAUUAGAUACCCUGGUAGUCCUAGCCGUAAACGAUGGGUACUAGGUGUAGGGGGUAUCGACCCCUCCUGUGCCGGAGUUAACGCAAUAAGUACCCCGCCUGGGGAGUACGGCCGCAAGGUUGAAACUCAAAGGAAUUGACGGGGGCCCGCACAAGCGGUGGAGUAUGUGGUUUAAUUCGACGCAACGCGAAGAACCUUACCAGGGCUUGACAUUGAGUGAAAGGCCUAGAGAUAGGUCCCUCCCUUCGGGGACACAAAAACAGGUGGUGCACGGCUGUCGUCAGCU